UUCCAGACUCCUACGGGAGGCAGCAGUGGGGGAUAUUGCACAAUGGGGGGAACCCUGAUGCAGCGACGCCGCGUGGGUGAAGAAGCGCCUCGGCGCGUAAAGCCCUGUCAGCAGGGAAGAAAAUGACGGUACCUGACUAAGAAGCCCCGGCUAACUACGUGCCAGCAGCCGCGGUAAUACGUAGGGAGCGAGCGUUGUCCGGAAUUACUGGGUGUAAAGGGAGCGUAGGCGGGAUUGCAAGUUGGAUGUGAAAACUGCGGGCUCAACCCGGAGCGUGCAUUCAAAACUGCGAUUCUUGAGUGAAGGAGAGGCAAGCGGAAUUCCUAGUGUAGCGGUGAAAUGCGUAGAUAUUAGGAGGAACACCAGUGGCGAAGGCGGCUUGCUGGGCUUUUACUGACGCUGAGGCUCGAAAGUGUGGGGAGCAAACAGGAUUAGAUACCCCAGUA
This 446-nucleotide ribosomal RNA is filed under the name uncultured bacterium. RNAcentral's name for it is "partial 16S ribosomal RNA". It matches the Rfam family "Bacterial small subunit ribosomal RNA", at positions 329 to 792 of the family's 1533-position model. The record is from RNAcentral.